GAUGAACGCUGGCGGCGUGCCUAAUACAUGCAAGUCGAGCGAACAGAUGAGGAGCUUGCUCCUCUGACGUUAGCGGCGGACGGGUGAGUAACACGUGGAUAACCUACCUAUAAGACUGGGAUAACUUCGGGAAACCGGAGCUAAUACCGGAUAAUAUAUUGAACCGCAUGGUUCAAUAGUGAAAGACGGUUUUGCUGUCACUUAUAGAUGGAUCCGCGCCGCAUUAGCUAGUUGGUAAGGUAACGGCUUACCAAGGCGACGAUGCGUAGCCGACCUGAGAGGGUGAUCGGCCACACUGGAACUGAGACACGGUCCAGACUCCUACGGGAGGCAGCAGUAGGGAAUCUUCCGCAAUGGGCGAAAGCCUGACGGAGCAACGCCGCGUGAGAGAUGAAGGUCUUCGGAUCGUAAAACUCUGUUAUUAGGGAAGAACAAAUGUGUAAGUAACUAUGCACGUCUUGACGGUACCUAAUCAGAAAGCCACGGCUAACUACGUG
This 497-nucleotide ribosomal RNA is filed under the name uncultured bacterium. Its description in RNAcentral is "partial 16S ribosomal RNA". It matches the Rfam family "Bacterial small subunit ribosomal RNA", at positions 28 to 507 of the family's 1533-position model. The record is from RNAcentral.